Molecule: ribosomal RNA, 434 nt
Filed under: uncultured bacterium
Lineage: Bacteria
Description: bacterial SSU rRNA
Rfam family: Bacterial small subunit ribosomal RNA
Source: RNAcentral
AACGCGAAGAACCUUACCUACCCUUGACAUCCAGAGAACUUUCCAGAGAUGGAUUGGUGCCUUCGGGAACUCUGAGACAGGUGCUGCAUGGCUGUCGUCAGCUCGUGUUGUGAAAUGUUGGGUUAAGUCCCGCAACGAGCGCAACCCUUAUCCUUUGUUGCCAGCGGUCCGGCCGGGAACUCAAAGGAGACUGCCAGUGAUAAACUGGAGGAAGGUGGGGAUGACGUCAAGUCAUCAUGGCCCUUACGAGUAGGGCUACACACGUGCUACAAUGGCGCAUACAAAGAGAAGCGAACUCGCGAGAGCAAGCGGACCUCAUAAAGUGCGUCGUAGUCCGGAUUGGAGUCUGCAACUCGACUCCAUGAAGUCGGAAUCGCUAGUAAUCGUAGAUCAGAAUGCUACGGUGAAUACGUUCCCGGGCCUUGUACACACCG